RNAcentral lists this ribosomal RNA (792 nucleotides) under uncultured bacterium. RNAcentral's name for it is "bacterial SSU rRNA". It matches the Rfam family "Bacterial small subunit ribosomal RNA", at positions 8 to 832 of the family's 1533-position model. The record is from RNAcentral.
AGAGUUUGAUCAUGGCUCAGAAUCAACGCUGACGGCGUGCCUAACACAUGCAAGUCGAACGAGAAAGGGUAGCAAUACCUGAGUAAAGUGGCGCACGGGUGAGUAACACGUGACUAACCUACCCUGGAGUGGGGGAUAACUGAGGGAAACCUUAGCUAAUACCGCAUAACACCUACGGGUCAAAGGAGCAAUUCGCUUUGGGAGGGGGUCGCGGCCGAUUAGUUAGUUGGCGGGGUAAUGGCCCACCAAGACGAUGAUCGGUAUCCGGCCUGAGAGGGCGCACGGACACACUGGAACUGAAACACGGUCCAGACUCCUACGGGAGGCAGCAGUGGGGAAUUUUGCGCAAUGGGGGAAACCCUGACGCAGCAACGCCGCGUGGAGGAUGAAGCCCCUUGGGGCGUAAACUCCUUUCGACCGGGAAAAUAAUGAUGGUACCGGUGGAAGAAGCACCGGCUAACUCUGUGCCAGCAGCCGCGGUAAUACAGAGGGUGCGAGCGUUGUUCGGAAUUAUUGGGCGUAAAGGGCGCGUAGGCGGUGCGGUAAGUCACCUGUGAAAUCCCCGGGCUUAACUCGGGGCCUGCAGGCGAAACUGCCGUGCUGGAGGGUGGGAGAGGUGCGUGGAAUUCCCGGUGUAGCGGUGAAAUGCGUANAUAUCGGGAGGAACACCUGUGGCGAAAGCGGCGCACUGGACCACUACUGACGCUGANGCGCGAAAGCCGGGGGAGCAAACAGGAUUAGAUACCCUGGUAGUCCCGGCCCUAAACGAUGAUUGCUUGGUGUGAUCGGUAC